Scophthalmus maximus (turbot) is the source of this 815-nucleotide long non-coding RNA. RefSeq lists it as uncharacterized. The record is from RefSeq and is a predicted model, not a curated record. Lineage: Eukaryota; Metazoa; Chordata; Actinopteri; Pleuronectiformes; Scophthalmidae. The transcript has 3 exons.
UCGUUACUUCACCUUGUCGGAUGUUUUUGUUUUGUUUGCCUGUGAAUUUCAAAAGUUGUACGUCAUUUAUGCGAGGUCGUCACCAGCGAUCUGGGGGCCCGACACCGGAAGCUGUCAACUUCUGGAAUCCGCCAUCUUGAUAAGGUUUUUUCAGACUCAGAGAAGCUGCAACUCACAUGGUUUGGAAUGUCAAGAUUGUUGUUGGGCAACCGCACGCAGUUCCUGCUCAUCUUAUUGACCAGGUCUUCCCUGACAAUGACGAUUUCCUGGCUGCAGUACUGAAUCCUGACAGGAAAAACAAGCCAUGACAAUGUAGGAUGGUGCCUGGACCAGGGUCUUCAGGACCAGGGACAAACACAAAGCGACUACUGCAGGAUUAGGAUGAACAAAUGUAAAGUCAAACAUAUGGAAACUUUAGUAAUUAACAAUAGACCAGAGAGACAACCGUCAGAUCCUACCUGCUGUGAAUGUUGGGGUAUGCACUUAUGGCAUCAGCAAGAGCCUUCAGCGACUCUAAAAAGAGAAAAAUGAAUGAGAUUCCAAACGGCAGUCAUUUAUUCCUCAUUAAUUCACACAGAGAUCUUCAUAAGUGCAAUAGCUCAUGGGGGAUGAGGACCAGAAAGUUUCACCUUUGAGUGAUUUGAUCUGUGUUUUUCCAUAUGGGGCAGAAGAAAAGUUCCCGCACAAAAUAAAACAGGUGGGAGGCAUUGCCGCAUAGCCUGUAAAAAAAAGAAUAAGUGAAGCCAAAUGUGAAUGGUUUCUCAUAGUGUGCUUAUUAAAGUGUAUGACUGUGGUGCAAUACCAGACCUGAGAAC